CUACGCACUCCUACGGGAGGCAGCAGUGGGGAAUAUUGCACAAUGGGCGCAAGCCUGAUGCAGCCAUGCCGCGUGUAUGAAGAAGGCCUUCGGGUUGUAAAGUACUUUCAGCAGUGAGGAAGGUGGGUAUGUUAAUAGCAUAUUCAUUUGACGUUUAGCUGCAGAAGAAGCACCGGCUAACUCCGUGCCAGCAGCCGCGGUAAUACGGAGGGUGCGAGCGUUAAUCGGAAUUACUGGGCGUAAAGCGCAUGCAGGUGGUUUGUUAAGUCAGAUGUGAAAGCCCGGGGCUCAACCUCGGAAUUGCAUUUGAAACUGGCAAACUAGAGUACUGUAGAGGGGGUAGAAUUUCAGGUGUAGCGGUGAAAUGCGUAGAGAUCUGAAGGAAUACCGGUGGCGAAGGCGGCCCCCUGGACAGAUACUGACACUCAGAUGCGAAAGCGUGGGGAGCAAACAGGAUUAGAUACCCUGGUAG
This 472-nucleotide ribosomal RNA is filed under the name uncultured bacterium. Its description in RNAcentral is "bacterial SSU rRNA". It matches the Rfam family "Bacterial small subunit ribosomal RNA", at positions 329 to 793 of the family's 1533-position model. The record is from RNAcentral.